ACUGUACUACUGAUAUCACUGAUUGUCUCUUCUGGGUGUUCAACCACCAAAGCGCAGAGACCAACACUAAAAGGCAACUGGGUUAAGAAGACCGCCAAUAUUUUGGCCCUGGCCCUCCAAGGUCAUCAGAGAUUCAAGGCCCCCGCCCUGUGCUUUGGUGACCUGACACUUGUCUGUACACAGCCGCCUCCUGGACUGGAAGACACACACCGUGACACAUCCACAGGCUGCACAGAUGAGUGCAGACCCGGCCACAGGGUUUCUGCAGUGGUUCCCUGGCUACACAAACGCAAUGCUCCAAAAGCUGGACGGCAGCGAAUUGCAUUUUAGGAUUUAGGAACACACUACACGUGCAGUGGACCGCGUGGUUGUCAGAGAGUUUCAGUAUUCGUGCUUCCAAGAGCUUGCAGGGCUGGGGCAAGGCUCCUCAAAAGACUGCACACGCUGUGCAUCAGGUGUAAUGCAGGACACAGAAACCCAGGAGCCUGGCGCACAACAGCUGUCCAGAGUGAAAUGCAAGUGUGAGCAACGGAGAUCGGAAGGGUCCAGUCCAAGGUGUGAAGCCCGCAGCGAUGUCCUGUGACGGGUCUGCAUGAGGAGGCGGAAGGGUCUGGGACAGAAGACGGAGGGGCCUGGCCUGGAGGUUGAAGGGUCAGCUCUCUGGAAGCUAAAGGCUAGUGCUGCACCAAAGACUGCACCAAAAGCCAGGGGACAAAGUCAAGGAAAGAACCAGAGCAAGAACCAAAGAGAACAGCCAAAGCGCCUACAAGGGAAAGCAGCUGAAAUCCUGCCCUCAGUGUCCUUUUACAUCAUUCCAAGAACAGUGCUCCUUAAAGUGAGUCUUCCUGCCCAGAACCAUGCGGACCCAAUUCAGCCAUCCAUUCCCACCUCACGCUGACAAUUAAUCAAUUAACCACCACAUUUGUUUUUUGAGACAAGGUCUCACUAUGUAGUUCAGGGUGGCCUUGAACUUACUAUGUAGGCCGUUC
This is a long non-coding RNA of Fukomys damarensis (Damara mole-rat), 989 nucleotides long. RefSeq lists it as uncharacterized. The transcript is spliced from 3 exons. The record is from RefSeq and is a predicted model, not a curated record. NCBI's taxonomy places the organism in Eukaryota, Metazoa, Chordata, Mammalia, Rodentia, Bathyergidae.